CCUGACCUUCAGUCCAGGGCUGAGUCAGCGGAGCCCCGAGUGGCUUCCCUGGCUGGCACCUGGACGUAGGCUAUUUCCGU
This is a microRNA precursor of Meriones unguiculatus (Mongolian gerbil), 80 nucleotides long. NCBI's taxonomy places the organism in Eukaryota, Metazoa, Chordata, Mammalia, Rodentia, Muridae. The record is from Ensembl.